RNAcentral lists this transfer RNA (70 nucleotides) under Loxodonta africana (African savanna elephant). It matches the Rfam family "tRNA". From Rfam's summary of the family: Transfer RNA (tRNA) molecules are approximately 80 nucleotides in length. Their secondary structure includes four short double-helical elements and three loops (D, anti-codon, and T loops). Lineage: Eukaryota; Metazoa; Chordata; Mammalia; Proboscidea; Elephantidae. The record is from Rfam by way of RNAcentral.
GCCAUGGUGGUUCAGUAGUAGAAUUCUCACUUUCCAUGUGGGAGACCUGGGUUCAAUUCCCAGCAAGGCA